GGGACUCUGUCUCAAGAAAAAAAAAAAAGGUCCUAUUAUAUAGCCUUAAUCUUUACAUUGGUCUUGGGAAAAGAAAUUUCAGAUACAUUUCUAGAACCCAGAUCACCUUGCUAAAAUGUAAAGUUUACCUCACUCCAUGAUUCUGCAAAUCUGCAUUGUUUUCCACACUGAGUUUAGAAUAAAAUACAAAUUCCUGAGCCUGGGCAAACAAACAGAAACCUUCCCAUCUUCAGUUCCCAAAUGACACUUCCAGGCUCUGAAAAAGCUCUGAGUAUCAUUGUUCCUGUAGUUCCCUCAGCUGAGAAUGUUAUUUUUCGAUUCUCUGUCUUUGGAAAUCCUUCCUAGCCUUCAGAUGCCACCUUCUGUGUGGAGCCCUCCUUGAUCUCCCAAGGCACAACUAAGACACAGGGUUCUUCUGAAUGCCCAUACCAGUGUGGCCUGUGUUUCAUUUAACCUUGUCCUACAUUUCAUUGUUUACACUCCCUUCUGGAUUGCAUACUCCUUGAGGAGUGGAAGGUUGUUGAUUCACUUUUGCAUCCAGAUAAUGUCCAACAAAAGAUAGGCAGCCUUUCAUAAAUGCUGGGCGUGCUUAGUAUAAUUCCUUCCUGAUAGGAAUCAGCAGCAGCUCCAAUGCUUUUUAGUGGCAGCAUAUUUGUAGAGCAGCUAAAGGGGAGGGUUGAGGAAGGACUGUGCCUACUCUGUCCUUCUUUCUACCCCCCAUCCCCAGCAGCAGAGAUAGGGUUCCUAGGUCUCCAGCUCUGCAUGCUUGACUAGCCUCCCAUCACAGCGUAUUUGCUGGAGAGGAAAUGGAAAUUGUUCCUGAUUUAAGUGCAUGCAUCACAUCAGAGGCAGGCCAGGGCCCCUUCGUCUCAUGAGUCAGCAGACAUUAAGCCAAGCUCAUCUCUUCCCCUUACCUAAAAGCCCACAAAGCAAUAAACUCAUUAUCACUGCACAGAGAAUCAUGAAUAGGCCAAGGACAGGUCAGUCUGGAUUGUUGCAAGGGCUGCUUUUGUAAGGAAACAGGCAGUGAGCCAUUUUGCUUUCAAUCGCUCAGUACUUCCACUACUCACUGCCUGAACCGGAGACACCCACUUGACAUUAUGCAGUAGGUACCCCAGAUACCGUUAUCAAACAACUGGGUCUACUUGCCUGGCACAAAGAAGCCAAACACUGACAUCCGGGAUUGCAGCGAGAGAAAGUGAGGCAUUUAUUGCCAGGCACCAACAAGGAGAGUCAGGCAGCUCAGGCUGAAGACCCGAACCCCCAAGAGCUUACAGCCUGAGUGAGAGCUCUGGGAUUCUGGUGGCCAGGAGACUCAACCCAGCAGAAACAGAUCCUGAACAGUCAGUGUGAUGCUGGGUUUUAUUUUGUUGUGAAUCCAUUUGCCCAGCUUACAAGAGGAAGACACUUCAUGGAUCAGUGACUUUUGAUUCCAGGCCUCAAAGGAGAUGUAAAAGUAAUGAUUAAAGGGACUCUGCCUCUAAGGAUGACGUCUGCCUUGGCCUGCCAUGCAUGGAAUUCCAAUUCAUCUUUACUGGUUCUAAAGGUGAUACAUUGACCUCCGUGUGCUUCACAUUUGCUUUUUAUUUCUCAAAUUGUUUAGAAUCCAGGCUGGGAAGAGGAAUGCUAUAAUGAGGUUUCCUUAGAGACUUCAAUACCUCGUGGAGUCUUUACUUCCAAACAUCCUUUCAUUACAAUUCGCUGCACUCUGCAAAGCUUCAGAAGGAAAAUAGCAGAGGUCGUCCUAUCAGAGUAUAAGCAGAAUUUGUCUUCUUUCUUCUUCAUAUUCCCUUCAGCAUCACAUGAAGCUAAGUGCAUAGUUGUAACUCAAUCUACUUAUUGAAUGGAACAAGCCCAGUUCUGGAAAACUUCCUUUAAAAGCAAGUUUUUUGGCUAAGUGCAGUGGUUCACACCUGUAAUCCCAGCACUUUGGGAGGCUGAGGCUGGCGGAUUACUUGAGGUCAGGAGUUUAAGAC
Non-coding RNA from Chlorocebus sabaeus (green monkey), 1976 nucleotides. NCBI's taxonomy places the organism in Eukaryota, Metazoa, Chordata, Mammalia, Primates, Cercopithecidae. The record is from RefSeq and is a predicted model, not a curated record.